This 293-nucleotide ribosomal RNA is filed under the name uncultured bacterium. RNAcentral's name for it is "partial 16S ribosomal RNA". It matches the Rfam family "Archaeal small subunit ribosomal RNA", at positions 455 to 747 of the family's 1478-position model. The record is from RNAcentral.
GUGCCAGCCGCCGCGGUAAUACCGGCAGCCCGAGUGAUGGCCGAUCUUAUUGGGCCUAAAGCGUCCGUAGCUGGCUGCGCAAGUCCGUCGGGAAAUCCACUCGCCCAACGAGUGGGCGUCCGACGGAAACCGUGUGGCUUGGAACCGGAAGGCUCAGAGGGUACGUCCGGGGUAGGAGUGAAAUCCCAUAAUCCCGCACGGACCACCGAUGGCGAAAGCACUUCGAGAAAACGGAUCCGACAGUGAGGGACGAAAGCCAGGGUCUCCAACCGGAUUAGAUACCCUGGUAGUCC